UGGAACUCCAUGACCAAAAGCAACCUGAGAAGGAAAGGGUUUAUUAUCUUCCACAUCACAGUUCAUCAUCGAAGGAAGUCAGGGCAGGAUUUCAACCAGGGAAGGAACAUGAAGGCAAGAGUUGAUACGGAAGCCAUGGAGGCAGGAGCUGAUGCAGAUGCCAUGGAGGGGUGCUGCUUACUGGCUUACUCCUCAUGGCUUGCUCAGCCUGCUUCCUUUAGAACCCAGGAUCACCAGCCCACAAAGGGCUGAGCCUUUCCCCAUCAAUGUAUUAAGGAAGUGCCCUACAGCUGGAUGUUGUCAAGCUCAGUUGAGGUUCCCUUCUUCCAGAUAACUCUACCUUGUGUCAAGUUGACAUAACACUAGCCAACAUACUGGGUUUUGAAGAUACGGUUGUUAUACCCUAAAAUUUACCAUGUCACAUACAUAAUACAAAGUAAAUGUAGCACAUAUAAUUCAGUUGUUGUUGGUCUCUUCACAAGUAUUAGUCAGUUUUGGAAUGUUUCAUCACUGUAGAGCAGUUAUUCUCAACCUGAAUCCCAUGUGGGGGUCAAAUGGCCCUUCCACAGGGGUCACCUAAGACAUAGAUAUUUACAAUUCAUAACAAUAGCAAAAUUACAGUUAUGAAGUGCAAUGAAAAUAAUUUUAUGGUUGGGGGUCACCACAACAUGAGGAGCUGUAUUAAAGCGUCGCAGCAUCAGGAAGGUUGAGAAUCCCUGAUCUAGAAGAAACCCCAGGCUCCUAACUACACCCUUGUUUCCCCAGCUCCAAGAACUACUACCAUGGUAGGUGAGAUAGUUUGGUGAGCAAAGGGUCUCAUUUCACACCUGAACUUAAUCCCCGGGACCAACUCCCCAAAAGUUGUGCCAGAUGGUUUUGACUGUAUGUGUGGGUUCAGUUGAUUGGCUUUUGAGGCAUGGGGCUGAACCUUAGGCUUUGCUCAUGCUAGGCAGGUGCUCUGUCCCUGGGCUACAUCUUGCAGCCUCCAAUGCAUAUGUUUAUUUCUGGACUCUCAAACCCAUUUCAUUGCUCUGUGUCGGCACCAUGCCACCCUGACUUUUAAUGCCUUUUAGUAAACUUUGCACUUGGGAGGUGUGGUACGUAGGUGGCUCAUAUGGCUUGCUGCACAAUUGUAAGGAUCAGAGUUCAGAUCCCAGAACCUACAUCAAAUGUCAUUUGUGCGUGGUGGCUGUGAUUCCAGGGCUCCGGAGCUGGCUACCGGAAUGUGCUGCUUCAGUGAGCUCCAUGUCUGGUUGAAAGCCCAAGCGAUAGAGGAAGGUUCCUGAUGUCAACCUCAGGCCUCACAUACAUGUGCCUUCACACAUGCAUUGUGUGUGUGUGUGUGUGUGUGUGUGUGUAUACAAACACUCUACACAGACAAAACACAAGGAAGAUUGGGAGGUGCGAGUCCUACUAUUUUCUUCUUUUUUUUUAUAACUAUUUUUGGCUACUUCAGGUCCUUUGCAAUCCCAUAUGAAUUUUAGAAUCAGUCUUUCAUUUUCUACAAAGAAAUAAAGCAGGUAUUCAAAUAGGAACUGAUUAAGUCUGUGGAUCAGUUUGGAGAGUGUCCAGCUUACCCUUAAGUCCUAUGGCUUGUAAACAGACAUUUCCCCCAGUUAUUUAGAUCUUUCUUGACACCUUUCAACAAUUUUUUGCUUCCUCCGGGUGUGGAAAUGCAAGCUGAUAAUCCCAAAACUGUGCAGGCCGAAGCCAGAGGAUGGCUUCAAGUAUGAGGCCAGGCUGGACUACAUAGCAGGUCCUAGGCUAGUGUGGACUAUAUGGCACAUAUAGCAGACCUUGUUUUUUUUUGUUGUUUGUUUUAAUAAUUAAUUAAUUUAAGCAAGCCAAAGCAAUGUCUUGUUAUUUCCAGAGCAGGAAUUUUGUACUUUUUAUUGAGUAUUUUUUCCCUUAGAGUUUAUUCUGUUUGAUGCCGUUUGUUUGAAAUUGCUUAUUUUAAUUUCCAUUGUCAUUAUCUUCAUAACUUGAUUUUUGAAUUGCAAAUUUCUAUCCAUAGUCAUUUUUAUCUAUUGAUCUUGCCUUUAGCAGCCUUGUUGAAAAAUGUUAUAAUGGAUUCAUCAAGGGUGCUAAUUAUCAAAUAUAAUAGCAGAAAAUAGAAAUGAUAUGCUCCCUCCAUUCUCAUAAUAAAUAUCUUUAAUUUUUGCAUUUUUUCUUGCUUUAUUGUCCUGCUUAGAACCAUAUGAUUUGGAUAUAGCUGGGAGGUAGCUCAGUGGUUAAAGCUCAAGGACCAGAGUUUGGAUUCUCAGAACCCAAGUAAAUGCCAAGUGGGCAUCCUUCGGUCCCUUGUAAUGACAGCAAAUAGAAAAUUUGAGAGCAAGCUGGCUAGCAAAGCUAGCUAGACAGGUGUGGUGGUUUGAAUAUGCUUGGCCCAGGGAGUGGCACUACUAGGAGGUGUGUCUCUGUUGGAGUAGGUGUGUCACAGUGAGACCCUCCUCCUAAGCAUAUUCCAGCCUGUCUUCUCCCAGCAACCUUCAGACAUG
Molecule: long non-coding RNA, 2498 nt
Filed under: Mus musculus (house mouse)
Lineage: Eukaryota; Metazoa; Chordata; Mammalia; Rodentia; Muridae
Description: long non-coding RNA chr12:17757943-17760441
Source: RNAcentral